AAAAUCCUCCCAACUCCUAGAACUGUUUGUUUUCGUCCCACAAACCCUAACAAGGAAAUGUGCCUCUUGGUUAUUUUUUUUGGGAGUAUGCUUGAACUUCACCCCCUCCAACAGGGUCUUUGUCUUCCACAUUACAUGACAAAUCAUCCCCAGUCUGUUUCUCGGGAUGUCUUCUUCAAUUCCACACAUCACGUUGAUGAUCUCAAAGUUGUCAGAUUAAAAAAUAACUCUUUUUAUCCCCUUCUUCACUUUGUUCUUCAUAGCCCAAUGCAUGGCCGCAACUUCUGUCGUCGCUGGAUCAUUGUCAUUGUAAGCUCUAUCAGUGUUAAAGCUAACCAUCAGCGUUGCGACUUUGUAGGUGUGGUUACUUUUCUCCUUAUUGUUGAUGACCCACUUUCUGUUAUUUCCAUAUAUAUAUAUAUAUAUAUAUAUAUGUGUCUUCAAGCUUCAGAUUCAGAUUGUUCAGGUUAUUUUUUCCUUUUUCCUUUCUCCCCUUUUGAUUGUUAUUGUUGUUUAUGUCUCUCAUCUACUCUUGAUCAAUUUUUCUUAUAUUUCCAAACUGGGCGUGACUCUUCUCCUUAGUUGUUCCUCUCUCAGGCCUCCUUUGAAUAUGUAUGUCAGCUUCUACCUGGCAAUUCUCCUGCUUCAUCAACUUUAAUAUGUUCUCUUCCAGCUUAGUGUCUUUGGGUUUGGAGGUACUCUAAAUGUGCUUGUUUCUAAUCAUGACAUAGUUGUUAUUCCAGAUUGUCUCAUGCUGCUUGUCUUUAUCUUGAACCUUCUUCUUAUUCCCCGUCCUUUUUCCCUUGUUGCUAUGAUAGUCAAGACUAGUCAACAACCUGACAUCUCCUGCUACAAUCCUAUCCUUGGUGAUCUUCUCCUUCUUCAGGUGUUGCAUCUUGUCCUUGUGUUGAUUAGACAAAUUCUUGUUAAUCUCAGUGUUGUUAGUAGGAUUAUUAUUCCUUUGUAUUUGAAUAUUCACAUCCGUUUUUUUAUCCUUUUUAUCCUUCA
Long non-coding RNA from Lathyrus oleraceus (garden pea), 1008 nucleotides. RefSeq lists it as uncharacterized. The transcript is spliced from 2 exons. Lineage: Eukaryota; Viridiplantae; Streptophyta; Magnoliopsida; Fabales; Fabaceae. The record is from RefSeq and is a predicted model, not a curated record.